ACUACGGGAGGCAGCAGGAGGGAAUAGUGCUCAAUGGGGGAAACCCUGAAGCAGCAAAGGCGCGUGGAGGAAGAAGGUGGUCGGAGGGUAAAAGCUGUGUGAUAGAGAAGAUAAUGACGGUAUCUAACGAAUAAUCCCCGGAUCACUCCGUCCCAGACGGCGCGGUAAAUCGGUUGGUGAAUGCGUUACUCGGACCCACUGGGCGUUAAUAGAGCGUAGGCGGGAUAGCAAGUCAGAUGUGAAAUCCUAUGGCUUAAACAUAGAACUGCAGUUUAAACUGUUAGUCUAGAGUAUGGGAGAGGUAGGUGGAAUUCUUGGUGUAGGGGUAAAAUCCGUAGAGAUCAAGAGGAAUACUCAUUGCGAAGGCGACCUGCUAGAACAUAACUGACGCUGAUGCGCGAAAGCGUGGGGAGCAAACAGGAUUAGAUACCCCAGUAGUC
Molecule: ribosomal RNA, 440 nt
Filed under: uncultured bacterium
Lineage: Bacteria
Description: partial 16S ribosomal RNA
Rfam family: Bacterial small subunit ribosomal RNA
Source: RNAcentral